CAGUGGGACAAAUGUCUGGACACAGCGUCCAAACAGAACUUUAAGAUCCUCCAUAAGUACGUGGCUCUUUACGCGACUCAUCUCAUCAAAGAAGGAGAAGCUGUGAAAGCUCUGCAGCUCUACGUUCAGCACGGAGCUCCGCCGAACCCUCAGAACUUUAACAUCUACAAGCGUUUGUUCCUGGAUCUGAUGAACCUCUCCGACACCGACGGGCCCGAGUCUUACCG
Molecule: long non-coding RNA, 227 nt
Organism: Nematolebias whitei (Rio pearlfish)
Lineage: Eukaryota; Metazoa; Chordata; Actinopteri; Cyprinodontiformes; Rivulidae
Exons: 3
Source: RefSeq, a predicted model, not a curated record